Molecule: long non-coding RNA, 1586 nt
Organism: Balaenoptera acutorostrata (minke whale)
Lineage: Eukaryota; Metazoa; Chordata; Mammalia; Artiodactyla; Balaenopteridae
Exons: 6
Source: RefSeq, a predicted model, not a curated record
GCUGAGGAGGUCACAGACACAUGGUUCCUGGAAUGUGCGUGAUCCUUGACUGAGCGCUUCCACAGUGCUCAACUAAAUGGCACGGAUCUCAAGUUCUCCCCUCUGCCAGUGCUUCUUCCUUGAAGACCAUCCCCAGUCCUGGCUUAUCGUUGGAGAUUCCAGCUGAAUGCAUAAGGGCUCACUCACGGAGCACCAGCCACAAUGUGCAUGGGAAGAAAGAGGAACGCAAUCCAAGAAUAAAGGAGAAGGCGCUAACGCACUCUAAAUGUGGGACUGCAGAUCAUGAGCUUGAUUCGGCCUUUAAGACAUUUCCUUUCACAGGCUGAGAUUACAAUAACAAGCGUGUACCCAGUUUCGUGCUAAAACCUUAUUCAUGAACCUGCAGCUCAUCCGUAAUGAUGGAAGGUUAGACUCAUUCCAAAUAGAGGAGUGAGCUACAGCCACCUUUUGAUUAAUGAAGGACAGCUGAUCUGAUUUGGAGCUCCUCUGGGGGUCCUGCAAGACCAUAUUUCUGUCACAUGCACCAUUUUAUCAUCAGCUUUCCUGCUCUGAGGCUGAUCCUGGACCCCUGAAGCACCCAUCCAGAAGCCAUGAUUGGAGAACUAGAACUUUGAUCCAAAUUUCUACAGAGAGCCAGAUGACGUGUCAUGAGGAUACUCAAGCAGUUCUAUGGAGAGGUCUACUUGGUCAGGAACUCCUGUCAACAGUCGUGGAAGCAAGCCAUCCUGGAAGAAGAUCCUCCAGUCCCAGUCAUGCCUUCAGAUGACUGCAGCUCCUGCUGACAUCUUGAGUCAAACCUCAUGAGACAUCCUGAGCCAGUACCAUCUAGCUAAGUCACUCUCCAAUUCAGACCCACAGGUCUAAAUAAAAACCUAAAGUUCCAAGGUUAUUUUUAACUCUCCACAUCACAAACAAGUGUAACUCAGAUGUCAGCAUCAGCAUCUGUCUUUCAGAUGUCUAGAUCUAAUUGACUCUGCUCAGAGCCCAGUCAGUUCCACAGCUGUGAACUCUGAACUCCACUCUGUGGCAUCAACCUGGACACAAAGUACUGACCCUUGCCUUCCAGACCUCUUUUUCCACCUAACCAGAGAUUACCAAGACAUUCUUUCCAAGUAAAUACAGUGUUCUGUAUUUAUCUGGAAAGGAAUUGAGCUGAUGAAAGCCAGCUACCAUACUGUGAGUUGCCCUAUGGAAAGGCACAUGUGGCAGCGGACAGAGGGAGACCUCCAGCUAACAGCCAGUCAGCAACAGAGGCCUUCAGUCCAGCAGCUCACAAAGAACUAAAUCCUGCCAACAACCACGUGGGUGAGCUUGAAAGCAGAUCCUCCCCUUGUCGAGCCUCAAGAUGACUGCAGUUCCUGUCAGCACCUUGGCUGCAGCCUAGACCCCCACAAUGUAAGGAUAAUAAGUGGUUGUUGUUUAUGGUGCUAAAUUUGGGGGUAAUUUAUUAUGCAGCAAUAGAUAACUAAUAUAAUAUGGAAAAAAAUUACUUUUAAAACAUACAUUAUGAAGUGCAUGACAGUUAUGUGUUUCCAGAGCAUACCUAGCACAAAGCGCUAAAUACUUAUUGAACACGACUUAGUAAA